RNAcentral lists this ribosomal RNA (1372 nucleotides) under uncultured bacterium. Its description in RNAcentral is "bacterial SSU rRNA". It matches the Rfam family "Bacterial small subunit ribosomal RNA", at positions 28 to 1381 of the family's 1533-position model. The record is from RNAcentral.
GAUGAACGCUGGCGGCGUGCCUAAUACAUGCAAGUCGAGCGAACGGACGAGAAGCUUGCUUCUCUGAUGUUAGCGGCGGACGGGUGAGUAACACGUGGAUAACCUACCUAUAAGACUGGGAUAACUUCGGGAAACCGGAGCUAAUACCGGAUAAUAUUUUGAACCGCAUGGUUCAAAAGUGAAAGACGGUCUUGCUGUCACUUAUAGAUGGAUCCGCGCUGCAUUAGCUAGUUGGUAAGGUAACGGCUUACCAAGGCAACGAUGCAUAGCCGACCUGAGAGGGUGAUCGGCCACACUGGAACUGAGACACGGUCCAGACUCCUACGGGAGGCAGCAGUAGGGAAUCUUCCGCAAUGGGCGAAAGCCUGACGGAGCAACGCCGCGUGAGUGAUGAAGGUCUUCGGAUCGUAAAGCUCUGUUAUUAGGGAAGAACAUAUGUGUAAGUAACUGUGCACAUCUUGACGGUACCUAAUCAGAAAGCCACGGCUAACUACGUGCCAGCAGCCGCGGUAAUACGUAGGUGGCAAGCGUUAUCCGGAAUUAUUGGGCGUAAAGCGCGCGUAGGCGGUUUUUUAAGUCUGAUGUGAAAGCCCACGGCUCAACCGUGGAGGGUCAUUGGAAACUGGAAAACUUGAGUGCAGAAGAGGAAAGUGGAAUUCCAUGUGUAGCGGUGAAAUGCGCAGAGAUAUGGAGGAACACCAGUGGCGAAGGCGACUUUCUGGUCUGUAACUGACGCUGAUGUGCGAAAGCGUGGGGAUCAAACAGGAUUAGAUACCCUGGUAGUCCACGCCGUAAACGAUGAGUGCUAAGUGUUAGGGGGUUUCCGCCCCUUAGUGCUGCAGCUAACGCAUUAAGCACUCCGCCUGGGGAGUACGACCGCAAGGUUGAAACUCAAAGGAAUUGACGGGGACCCGCACAAGCGGUGGAGCAUGUGGUUUAAUUCGAAGCAACGCGAAGAACCUUACCAAAUCUUGACAUCCUUUGACAACUCUAGAGAUAGAGCCUUCCCCUUCGGGGGACAAAGUGACAGGUGGUGCAUGGUUGUCGUCAGCUCGUGUCGUGAGAUGUUGGGUUAAGUCCCGCAACGAGCGCAACCCUUAAGCUUAGUUGCCAUCAUUAAGUUGGGCACUCUAAGUUGACUGCCGGUGACAAACCGGAGGAAGGUGGGGAUGACGUCAAAUCAUCAUGCCCCUUAUGAUUUGGGCUACACACGUGCUACAAUGGACAAUACAAAGGGCAGCGAAACCGCGAGGUCAAGCAAAUCCCAUAAAGUUGUUCUCAGUUCGGAUUGUAGUCUGCAACUCGACUAUAUGAAGCUGGAAUCGCUAGUAAUCGUAGAUCAGCAUGCUACGGUGAAUACGUUCCCGGGUCU